This 494-nucleotide ribosomal RNA is filed under the name uncultured bacterium. Its description in RNAcentral is "partial 16S ribosomal RNA". It matches the Rfam family "Bacterial small subunit ribosomal RNA", at positions 28 to 507 of the family's 1533-position model. The record is from RNAcentral.
GACGAACGCUGGCGGCGUGCUUAACACAUGCAAGUCGAACGGUGAAGCGCCUUCCUUUUUGGUGGGUGUGGAUGAGUGGCGAACGGGUGAGUAACACGUGAGUAACCUGCCCCCUUCUUCUGGAUAACCGCAUGAAAGUGUGGCUAAUACGGGAUAUUCUGGGUCUGUCGCAUGAUGGGUCUGGGAAAGAUAUUGUUUCGGUGGGGGAUGGGCUCGCGGCCUAUCAGCUUGUUGGUGGGGUGAUGGCCUACCAAGGCGGUGGCGGGUAGCCGGCCUGAGAGGGUGGACGGUCACACUGGGACUGAGACACGGACAAGACUCCUACGGGAGGCAGCAGUGGAGAAUAUUGAACAAUGGGCGCAAGCCUGAUGCAGCGACGCCGCGUGAGGGAUGGAGGCCUUCGGGUUGUGAACCUCUUUCGCCAGUGAAGCAGGCCUGCCUAGUUUGUGGGUGGGUUGACGGUAGCUGGAUAAGAAGCGCCGGCUAACUACGUG